RNAcentral lists this ribosomal RNA (421 nucleotides) under uncultured bacterium. Its description in RNAcentral is "bacterial SSU rRNA". It matches the Rfam family "Bacterial small subunit ribosomal RNA", at positions 355 to 776 of the family's 1533-position model. The record is from RNAcentral.
UGGGGGAUAUUGCACAAUGGGGGAAACCCUGAUGCAGCGACGCCGCGUGAGUGAAGAAGUAUUUCGGUACGUAAAGCUCUAUCAGCAGGGAAGAAAAAAAGUCCACAGGACUUUGGACGGUACCUGACUAAGAAGCCCCGGCUAACUACGUGCCAGCAGCCGCGGUAAUACGUAGGGGGCAAGCGUUAUCCGGAUUUACUGGGUGUAAAGGGAGCGUAGACGGCUGUGCAAGUCUGAAGUGAAAUGCCGGGGCUCAACCCCGGAACUGCUUUGGAAACUGUACAGCUAGAGUGCAGGAGGGGUGAGCGGAAUUCCUAGUGUAGCGGUGAAAUGCGUAGAUAUUAGGAGGAACACCGGUGGCGAAGGCGGCUCACUGGACUGUAACUGACGUUGAGGCUCGAAAGCGUGGGGAGCAAACAGG